AUACGGAGGGGGUUAGCGUUGUUCGGAAUUACUGGGCGUAAAGUGUACGUAGGCGGACUGGAAAGUUGGGGGUGAAAUCCCGGGGCUCAACCCCGGAACUGCCUCCAAAACUUCCAAUCUAGAGAUCGAGAGAGGUGAGUGGAAUUCCAAGUGUAGAGGUGAAAUUCGUAGAUAUUUGGAGGAACACCAGUGGCGAAGGCGGCUCACUGGCUCGAUACUGACGCUGAGGUACGAAAGCGUGGGGAGCAAACAGGAUUAGAAACCCCAGUAGUCC
This 274-nucleotide ribosomal RNA is filed under the name uncultured bacterium. Its description in RNAcentral is "partial 16S ribosomal RNA". It matches the Rfam family "Bacterial small subunit ribosomal RNA", at positions 523 to 796 of the family's 1533-position model. The record is from RNAcentral.